RNAcentral lists this ribosomal RNA (443 nucleotides) under uncultured bacterium. RNAcentral describes it as "partial 16S ribosomal RNA". It matches the Rfam family "Bacterial small subunit ribosomal RNA", at positions 338 to 795 of the family's 1533-position model. The record is from RNAcentral.
CCUACGGGCGGCAGCAGUGGGGAAUAUUGGGCAAUGGGCGCAAGCCUGACCCAGCAACGCCGCGUGAAGGCAGAAGGCUUUCGGGUUGUAAACUUCUUUUCUCAGGGACGAAGCAAGUGACGGUACCUGAGGAAUAAGCCACGGCUAACUACGUGCCAGCAGCCGCGGUAAUACGUAGGUGGCAAGCGUUAUCCGGAUUUACUGGGCGUAAAGGGCGCGUAGGCGGGACAGCAAGUCAGAUGUGAAACCCAUGGGCUCAACCUGUGGCUUGCAUUUGAAACUGUUUAUCUUGAGUCCUGGAGAGGCAGAUGGAAUUCCAAGUGUAGCGGUGAAAUGCGUAGAUAUUAGGAGGAACACCAGUGGCGAAGGCGGUCUGCUGGACAGCAACUGACGCUGAGGUGCGAAAGCGUGGGGAGCAAACAGGAUUAGAUACCCUAGUAGUC